This 320-nucleotide ribosomal RNA is filed under the name uncultured eukaryote. Its description in RNAcentral is "partial 18S ribosomal RNA". It matches the Rfam family "Eukaryotic small subunit ribosomal RNA", at positions 1470 to 1796 of the family's 1831-position model. The record is from RNAcentral.
CCCCUAGAUGUUCUGGGCCGCACGCGCGCUACACUGAACAGUUCAACAAGUCUUAACCUUGGCCGAUAGGUCUGGGUAAUCUUUGAACGCUGUUCGUGAUUGGGAUAGACCUUUGCAAUUAUGGGUCUUCAACGAGGAAUUCCUAGUAAACGCAAGUCAUCAGCUUGCAUUGAUUACGUCCCUGCCCUUUGUACACACCGCCCGUCGCACCUACCGAUUGAAUGGUCCGGUGAAAUCUCGGGACGGCGGCUUGGUCGCUUGCGUCCGACUGCUGAAACUUGAUUAAACCAUAUCAUUUAGAGGAAGGUGAAGNCGUAACA